This 192-nucleotide ribosomal RNA is filed under the name endophyte RCa2. RNAcentral's name for it is "partial small subunit ribosomal RNA". It matches the Rfam family "Eukaryotic small subunit ribosomal RNA", at positions 34 to 228 of the family's 1831-position model. Lineage: Eukaryota; Fungi; Ascomycota. The record is from RNAcentral.
GUCUCAAAGAUUAAGCCAUGCAUGUCUAAGCAUAAGCAAUCUAUACGGUGAAACAGCGAAUGGCUCAUUAAAUCAGUUAUCGUUUAUUUGAUAGUACCUUACUACUUGGAUAACCGUGGUAAUUCUAGAGCUAAUACAUGCUAAAAACCCCGACUUCGGAAGGGGUGUAUUUAUUAGAUAAAAAACCAAUGC